CACGUAGGGGGCGAGCGUUGUCCGGAUUUACUGGGCGUAAAGAGCGCGCAGGCGGUCGUUCAAGUCGAGUGUGAAAGCCCCCGGCUCAACUGGGGAGGGUCAUUCGAUACUGAUCGACUUGAAGGCAGGAGAGGGAAGUGGAAUUCCCGGUGUAGUGGUGAAAUGCGUAGAUAUCGGGAGGAACACCAGUGGCGAAGGCGACUUCCUGGCCUGUUCUUGACGCUGAGGCGCGAAAGCUAGGGGAGCAAACGGG
Molecule: ribosomal RNA, 253 nt
Filed under: uncultured bacterium
Lineage: Bacteria
Description: partial 16S ribosomal RNA
Rfam family: Bacterial small subunit ribosomal RNA
Source: RNAcentral